RNAcentral lists this ribosomal RNA (489 nucleotides) under uncultured bacterium. Its description in RNAcentral is "partial 16S ribosomal RNA". It matches the Rfam family "Bacterial small subunit ribosomal RNA", at positions 43 to 523 of the family's 1533-position model. The record is from RNAcentral.
AGUGCCUAAUACAUGCAAGUCGAGCGGCAGCAUGAUUAGUAGCAAUACUAAUUGAUGGCGAGCGGCGGACGGGUGAGGAACACGUAGGAAUCUGUCGUUUAGAGGGGGACAACCAAGGGAAACUUUGGCUAAUACCGCGUAAUCUCGAGCGAGGAAAGCUGCCCGCAAGGGCGGCGCGAAAUGAGGGGCCUGCGUCCGAUUAGCUAGUUGGUAGGGUAAAAGCCUACCAAGGCAAUGAUCGGUAACUGGUCUGAGAGGACGACCAGUCACACUGGGACUGAGACACGGCCCAGACUCCUACGGGAGGCAGCAGUGGGGAAUAUUGGACAAUGGGGGAAACCCUGAUCCAGCGAUGCCGCGUGGGUGAAGAAGGCCUUCGGGUUGUAAAGCCCUUUAGAUCGGGAAGAAGUUUACUCGACGAAUAAUCGAGUAAGUUGACGGUACCGGUAGAAUAAGCACCGGCAAACUCUGUGCCAGCCGCCGCGGUAA